GCAGGUCCGCCGAGCCCGCGCGUCCGGGCCCAGGGCAGCCCUGGCGCGGGGGACGGCGGAGGGCGGGGACGGGCGCUUUCCCCACCCGGGGGCGCCCUCCCCGAGCAGGCCCUCCGGUCGCCCAGCCGGCCUCGCCUCCGAAAUCGGGUCUCGGAGCUGGCGGAGCGCCUUUGAGCCCACCUGCCGCGGGGAGACAGGCCCGGGGACGGUCCCUGGCGCCUGGCGGAGCUUCCUGGGGGAAAAGAAGUCGGAGUUUGGAGAAAAGAUUCCUCUCUUGGGUCAAUCUGCCUUAAGAAAAUGACAUCCCCUGUGACCAGAUCUUGGAGCUGCCAGUUACUGGUUCUGGCUGCUCCAGGUACUUCGGGGCUCCAAGAAACACCAUAGAGCAAGGAUUAAGAUGCCCAGGCUGCCCUCUACUGGCAAUUUGUAGGAAUGACCACAACACAGCCGCUCUCAACCUGCAACCCAAAAGGGCCGGGACGAAGAGAGGAGCCCCUAGGGAGGAUGAGGAGUGGCUAUACCUCCUGCCAGGCUGAAGGCAGGGCUGGGGCCUCCUAGCGGGAGGCUAGAAGCAUCC
Molecule: long non-coding RNA, 577 nt
Organism: Lemur catta (Ring-tailed lemur)
Lineage: Eukaryota; Metazoa; Chordata; Mammalia; Primates; Lemuridae
Exons: 3
Source: RefSeq, a predicted model, not a curated record